ACAACCUUCAAGCGUAGCUUGGUAUUGGGCUCUCGCUGCUCCCUUCGGGGGCGGCGUGCCCGAAAAGCAGUGGCGAUCCCCGGGGAUUUCGCGCGUAGUAAAUCUUCCGCGUUGGAAACUUCCGCUCGGAAUCCGCCAGACAACCCCCAUGAAUUCUCCAUA
This 162-nucleotide unclassified non-coding RNA is filed under the name Thysanothecium scutellatum. RNAcentral describes it as "ITS2". The record is from RNAcentral. Lineage: Eukaryota; Fungi; Ascomycota; Lecanoromycetes; Lecanorales; Cladoniaceae.